CGUACCCCUAGAAGCACUGCAUGUGUGGCUGCUGUGUCACAUGUGUGAAGUAGGUGGCAGAGAGGAAAGAGGCCAUGUCUAAGCUCAGUGUUCUAACCUGUGAGCAUCUCAAUGGCUAGUAGCCUAACUUC
This is a small nucleolar RNA of Meriones unguiculatus (Mongolian gerbil), 131 nucleotides long. The record is from Ensembl. NCBI's taxonomy places the organism in Eukaryota, Metazoa, Chordata, Mammalia, Rodentia, Muridae.